AGAAAGAUGCAAAUGCAUAAAGUUCCGAGCCCUGAUCAUUACCUACUCAUAUCAUUGAGUGAUUUUUCUUAGAAAAUGCUUGUUAGUAGGGUGUCGCCGAUUUUCGAAAUUAUGAAUUUGUUCUAUUCAUUGAAAGUAAAACAGUUAGUGACAGAUUUUUACCUGAUUAUCCUGAUAUUUUAACUGAAUUUGUAUCACCAGUACCUAUCAUUACCGGGAUCAGCAAUUUAGAAGGAAUGAUUGCAUUUACAGAAACUUAUUAGUACAACUGAAGAAAUUAGAAAUUUAUUUGAGAGUCAUUAUGAUGAAGGAGUUAUUAAUAAAGUGAAAAGUUUUUAUUACGACUAAAGUAAUCUGAAAUGUUGAACAACUAAAUUGGAAAAUGUUUAUAAUAAGACUUUGAUCAUGGAUUUAACCAUCUUAUUUACCAUGACACACCAGUUUAUAAUUAUGAAUUUAAAUUUGAUGAAAAAAUUAAUCUGU
Molecule: long non-coding RNA, 483 nt
Organism: Sipha flava (yellow sugarcane aphid)
Lineage: Eukaryota; Metazoa; Arthropoda; Insecta; Hemiptera; Aphididae
Exons: 4
Source: RefSeq, a predicted model, not a curated record